RNAcentral lists this ribosomal RNA (500 nucleotides) under uncultured bacterium. RNAcentral describes it as "partial 16S ribosomal RNA". It matches the Rfam family "Bacterial small subunit ribosomal RNA", at positions 29 to 523 of the family's 1533-position model. The record is from RNAcentral.
AUUGAACGCUGGCGGAAUGCUUUACACAUGCAAGUCGAACGGCAGCACGGGGGCAACCCUGGUGGCGAGUGGCGAACGGGUGAGUAAUACAUCGGAACGUGCCCAGUCGUGGGGGAUAACGUAGCGAAAGUUACGCUAAUACCGCAUACGAUCUACGGAUGAAAGCGGGGGACCGUAAGGCCUCGCGCGAUUGGAGCGGCCGAUGUCAGAUUCGGUAGUUGGUGAGGUAAAGGCUCACCAAGCCGACGAUCUGUAGCCGGUCUGAGAGGACGACCAGACACACUGGGAAUGGGCCACGGCCCAGACUCCUAGGGGAGGCAGCAGUGGGGAAUUUUGGACAAUGGGCGCAAGCCUGAUCCAGCCAUUCCGCGUGAAGGACGAAGGCCUUCGGGUUGUAAACUGCUUUUGUACGGAACGAAAAGGCUCUGGUUAAUACCUGGGGCUCAUGACGGUACCGUAAGAAUAAGCACCGGCUAACUACGUGCCAGCAGCCGCGGUAA